GUCUAUGGUCAUACCACCCUGAAGGCAUCUGAUCCCGUCUGUUCUUGGAAGCUAAGCAGGGUCAGAUCUGGUUAGUAUUUGGAUGGGAGAAAAUACACUCAAGGUUGACAGAGGCUGUGGGAU
Molecule: ribosomal RNA, 123 nt
Filed under: Jaculus jaculus (lesser Egyptian jerboa)
Lineage: Eukaryota; Metazoa; Chordata; Mammalia; Rodentia; Dipodidae
Source: RNAcentral